UAAUCUAAUUAAACUAAUUAUAUUAUGCCACACAAGAUGAUAAUGUCGGAUCUUUGGCGCUGACCAUUAAUCCCAAAAGCUCGAACUUUUAAAAAUACGCAACCAAUUCACUUAAAGGGUGCAGAUACAGCGCUCAUGGGUCUCGAUUGUGACUCGGUCCAACCAACCUCACGCCACUUCGAAUAUGACUCGGCCCACCCAGCCUCACGCCAUUUCGAACAUAACUUGGCCCAACAUAGCCUCACACCACAAUGCAGGAUGAUGGCCCAUUUAAGCCAACAAUCCCUCCUCCACGAAUCCGUGACCUCUGGUUCAAAUGCCACUUGUUGGAUCGAUGGCGCUAACCAUUAAUCCAAAAGCUCGAGUUGUUAGAAAUACGCAACUAAUUCACUUAAGGCAUACAGAUAUAGCGUCCACGGAUCUCAAUUGUGACUCUGCCCGACCAACCUCACGCCACUUUGAAUAUGACUCGGCAUAUUCAACCUCACGCCAUUUCAAACAUGAUUUGACCCAACAUAGCCUCCCACCACAAGAUAGGAUGCUAGCUCAUUUAAGCCAACAGAAAGAGUCUAAUAAAGAGUAAUAUAAUAAUUUCGCAUGGAAAUGCUAUUUGUAAAAAAAUAAUUUUAUACUUUUAUACAAAU
This 644-nucleotide long non-coding RNA is filed under the name Ananas comosus (pineapple). RNAcentral describes it as "long non-coding RNA (ACOM_LNC029772)". Lineage: Eukaryota; Viridiplantae; Streptophyta; Magnoliopsida; Poales; Bromeliaceae. The record is from RNAcentral.